Molecule: ribosomal RNA, 500 nt
Filed under: uncultured bacterium
Lineage: Bacteria
Description: partial 16S ribosomal RNA
Rfam family: Bacterial small subunit ribosomal RNA
Source: RNAcentral
AUUGAACGCUGGCGGCAUGCCUUACACAUGCAAGUCGAACGGCAGCGCGGGAGCAAUCCUGGCGGCGAGUGGCGAACGGGUGAGUAAUAUAUCGGAACGUGCCCAUUAGUGGGGGAUAGCCCGGCGAAAGCCGGAUUAAUACCGCAUACGACCUGAGGGUGAAAGCGGGGGAUCGCAAGACCUCGCGCUAUUGGAGCGGCCGAUAUCAGAUUAGCUAGUUGGUGGGGUAAAGGCCUACCAAGGCAACGAUCUGUAGUUGGUCUGAGAGGACGACCAGGAGCACUGGUACUGAGACACGGCCCAGACUCCUACGGGAGGCAGCAGUGGGGAAUUUUGGACAAUGGGCGCAAGCCUGAUCCAGCAAUGCCGCGUGGAGGAAGAAGGCCUUCGGGUUGUAAACUGCUUUUGUCAGGGAAGAAAUCCUUUGGGCUAAUACCUCGGAGGGAUGACGGUACCUGAAGAAUAAGCACCGGCUAACUACGUGCCAGCAGCCGCCGUAA